This 451-nucleotide ribosomal RNA is filed under the name uncultured bacterium. RNAcentral's name for it is "SSU rRNA". It matches the Rfam family "Bacterial small subunit ribosomal RNA", at positions 26 to 518 of the family's 1533-position model. The record is from RNAcentral.
AGAGCGAACGCUGGCGGCAGGCUUAACACAUGCAAGUCGAGCGGGCGUAGCAAUACGUCAGCGGCAGACGGGUGAGUAACGCGUGGGAACGUACCUUUUGGUUCGGAACAACCCAGGGAAACUUGGGCUAAAUACCGGAUAAGCCCUUACGGGGAAAGAUUUAUCGCCGAAAGAUCGGCCCGCGUCUGAUUAGCUAGUUGGUGAGGUAAUGGCUCACCAAGGCGACGAUCAGUAGCUGGUCUGAGAGGAUGAUCAGCCACAUUGGGACUGAGACACGGCCCAAACUCCUACGGGAGGCAGCAGUGGGGAAUAUUGGACAAUGGGCGCAAGCCUGAUCCAGCAAUGCCGCGUGAGUGAUGAAGGCCUUCGGGUUGUAAAGCUCUUUCGCACGCGAGGAUGAUGACGCUAGCGUGAGAAGAACGCCCGGCUAACUUCGUGCCAGCGAGCCGAC